This is a long non-coding RNA of Cotesia glomerata, 107 nucleotides long. RefSeq lists it as uncharacterized. The transcript is spliced from 3 exons. The record is from RefSeq and is a predicted model, not a curated record. NCBI's taxonomy places the organism in Eukaryota, Metazoa, Arthropoda, Insecta, Hymenoptera, Braconidae.
UCAUACGUGUGCUCUUACGAUUCACACCGUUCAAAUUUAACAUUACACUUAGUGUGAUUUUCACACCGUCCGUGUUAAAAAUUUUAACACCGAAUCAUUUACACUAC